UAAAAGAAAGCCUUUCAUUGAGGGUUAG
This 28-nucleotide non-coding RNA is filed under the name Rattus norvegicus (Norway rat). The record is from RNAcentral. Lineage: Eukaryota; Metazoa; Chordata; Mammalia; Rodentia; Muridae.